This 425-nucleotide ribosomal RNA is filed under the name uncultured Leuconostoc sp. RNAcentral's name for it is "bacterial SSU rRNA". It matches the Rfam family "Bacterial small subunit ribosomal RNA", at positions 355 to 774 of the family's 1533-position model. Lineage: Bacteria; Bacillati; Bacillota; Bacilli; Lactobacillales; Lactobacillaceae. The record is from RNAcentral.
UAGGGAAUCUUCCACAAUGGGCGCAAGCCUGAUGGAGCAACGCCGCGUGUGUGAUGAAGGCUUUCGGGUCGUAAAGCACUGUUGUAUGGGAAGAAAUGCUAAAAUAGGGAAUGAUUUUAGUUUGACGGUACCAUACCAGAAAGGGACGGCUAAAUACGUGCCAGCAGCCGCGGUAAUACGUAUGUCCCGAGCGUUAUCCGGAUUUAUUGGGCGUAAAGCGAGCGCAGACGGUUGAUUAAGUCUGAUGUGAAAGCCCGGAGCUCAACUCCGGAAUGGCAUUGGAAACUGGUUAACUUGAGUGUUGUAGAGGUAAGUGGAACUCCAUGUGUAGCGGUGGAAUGCGUAGAUAUAUGGAAGAACACCAGUGGCGAAGGCGGCUUACUGGACAACAACUGACGUUGAGCUCGAAGUGUGGGUAGCAAACA